UGCAGUCGAGCGGAUGAAGGGAGCUUGCUCCUGGAUUCAGCGGCGGACGGGUGAGUAAUGCCUAGGAAUCUGCCUGGUAGUGGGGGAUAACGUCCGGAAACGGGCGCUAAUACCGCAUACGUCCUGAGGGAGAAAGUGGGGGAUCUUCGGACCUCACGCUAUCAGAUGAGCCUAGGUCGGAUUAGCUAGUUGGUGGGGUAAAGGCCUACCAAGGCGACGAUCCGUAACUGGUCUGAGAGGAUGAUCAGUCACACUGGAACUGAGACACGGUCCAGACUCCUACGGGAGGCAGCAGUGGGGAAUAUUGGACAAUGGGCGAAAGCCUGAUCCAGCCAUGCCGCGUGUGUGAAGAAGGUCUUCGGAUUGUAAAGCACUUUAAGUUGGGAGGAAGGGCAGUAAGUUAAUACCUUGCUGUUUUGACGUUACCAACAGAAUAAGCACCGGCUAACUUCGUGCCAGCAGCCGCGGUAAUACGAAGGGUGCAAGCGUUAAUCGGAAUUACUGGGCGUAAAGCGCGCGUAGGUGGUUCAGCAAGUUGGAUGUGAAAUCCCCGGGCUCAACCUGGGAACUGCAUCCAAAACUACUGAGCUAGAGUACGGUAGAGGGUGGUGGAAUUUCCUGUGUAGCGGUGAAAUGCGUAGAUAUAGGAAGGAACACCAGUGGCGAAGGCGACCACCUGGACUGAUACUGACACUGAGUGCGAAAGCGUGGGGAGCAAACAGGAUUAG
Molecule: ribosomal RNA, 728 nt
Filed under: Pseudomonas aeruginosa
Lineage: Bacteria; Pseudomonadati; Pseudomonadota; Gammaproteobacteria; Pseudomonadales; Pseudomonadaceae
Description: bacterial SSU rRNA
Rfam family: Bacterial small subunit ribosomal RNA
Source: RNAcentral